RNAcentral lists this transfer RNA (59 nucleotides) under Ailuropoda melanoleuca (giant panda). The record is from Rfam by way of RNAcentral. Lineage: Eukaryota; Metazoa; Chordata; Mammalia; Carnivora; Ursidae.
GCCUGGGUGGCUCAAUCGGUUGAGCGUCUGACUUCGGAUCAGGUCAUGAUCCCAGGGUA